This 91-nucleotide ribosomal RNA is filed under the name Escherichia coli. Its description in RNAcentral is "partial 16S ribosomal RNA". It matches the Rfam family "Bacterial small subunit ribosomal RNA", at positions 1443 to 1533 of the family's 1533-position model. The record is from RNAcentral. RNAcentral also lists the same sequence under 4 other names. Lineage: Bacteria; Pseudomonadati; Pseudomonadota; Gammaproteobacteria; Enterobacterales; Enterobacteriaceae.
UUGGAGCCAGCCGCCUAAGGUGGGAUAGAUGAUUGGGGUGAAGUCGUAACAAGGUAGCCGUAUCGGAAGGUGCGGCUGGAUCACCUCCUUU